Long non-coding RNA from Apteryx owenii (little spotted kiwi), 393 nucleotides. NCBI's taxonomy places the organism in Eukaryota, Metazoa, Chordata, Aves, Apterygiformes, Apterygidae. The record is from Ensembl.
GUUAAGCCCGGCUAGCAAGCAUUUACAGCCUCUAGACCGGGGUGUCAAAGCUACAGCUGUGACAUAGACACCUGCCAGGAGAAUUCAUAUGGUCUGAGGUCCACUACCCACCCGCAGCAGUCUUUCAGGAGUUUCGUCUUUGAUUAGCUUGCUCUUACCUGGCAUCAGAACUGAUCAAGGAGUACUUCCCUGGGCACUCUGGAUCUUCUGGGCCACAUGAGGGAAGAGAAAGACAAGGAAGGACUCUUUAAGAGCAGACUGAUUUCAUUCCAGGAGGCAGGACCAGAAGCAGGAAGAAUGAAAAAUUUUCACCAUCUUCCUGAGCCUGAAUGUGACACUCUCUAUACUAGACCAGAUGAUGGAGGAAGGGCGGCAGGAAAGAUUGCAGCUAGC